This 465-nucleotide ribosomal RNA is filed under the name uncultured Klebsiella sp. Its description in RNAcentral is "bacterial SSU rRNA". It matches the Rfam family "Bacterial small subunit ribosomal RNA", at positions 338 to 795 of the family's 1533-position model. Lineage: Bacteria; Pseudomonadati; Pseudomonadota; Gammaproteobacteria; Enterobacterales; Enterobacteriaceae. The record is from RNAcentral.
CCUACGGGCGGCUGCAGUGGGGAAUAUUGCACAAUGGGCGCAAGCCUGAUGCAGCCAUGCCGCGUGUGUGAAGAAGGCCUUCGGGUUGUAAAGCACUUUCAGCGGGGAGGAAGGCGGUGAGGUUAAUAACCUCAUCGAUUGACGUUACCCGCAGAAGAAGCACCGGCUAACUCCGUGCCAGCAGCCGCGGUAAUACGGAGGGUGCAAGCGUUAAUCGGAAUUACUGGGCGUAAAGCGCACGCAGGCGGACUGUCAAGUCGGAUGUGAAAUCCCCGGGCUCAACCUGGGAACUGCAUUCGAAACUGGCAGGCUAGAGUCUUGUAGAGGGGGGUAGAAUUCCAGGUGUAGCGGUGAAAUGCGUAGAGAUCUGGAGGAAUACCGGUGGCGAAGGCGGCCCCCUGGACAAAGACUGACGCUCAGGUGCGAAAGCGUGGGGAGCAAACAGGAUUAGAUACCCGUGUAGUC